RNAcentral lists this ribosomal RNA (1372 nucleotides) under uncultured bacterium. RNAcentral describes it as "bacterial SSU rRNA". It matches the Rfam family "Bacterial small subunit ribosomal RNA", at positions 28 to 1381 of the family's 1533-position model. The record is from RNAcentral.
GAUGAACGCUGGCGGCGUGCCUAAUACAUGCAAGUCGAGCGAACGGACGAGAAGCUUGCUUUUCUGAUGUUAGCGGCGGACGGGUGAGUAGCACGUGGAUAACCUACCUAUAAGACUGGGAUAACUUCGGGAAACCGGAGCUAAUACCGGAUAAUAUUUUGAACCGCAUGGUUCAAAAGUGAAAGACGGUCUUGCUGUCACUUAUAGAUGGAUCCGCGCUGCAUUAGCUAGUUGGUAAGGUAACGGCUUACCAAGGCAACGAUGCAUAGCCGACCUGAGAGGGUGAUCGGCCACACUGGAACUGAGACACGGUCCAGACUCCUACGGGAGGCAGCAGUAGGGAAUCUUCCGCAAUGGGCGAAAGCCUGACGGAGCAACGCCGCGUGAGUGAUGAAGGUCUUCGGAUCGUAAAACUCUGUUAUUAGGGAAGAACAUAUGUGUAAGUAACUGUGCACAUCUUGACGGUACCUAAUCAGAAAGCCACGGCUAACUACGUGCCAGCAGCCGCGGUAAUACGUAGGUGGCAAGCGUUAUCCGGAAUUAUUGGGCGUAAAGCGCGCGUAGGCGGUUUUUUAAGUCUGAUGUGAAAGCCCACGGCUCAACCGUGGAGGGUCAUUGGAAACUGGAAAACUUGAGUGCAGAAGAGGAAAGUGGAAUUCCAUGUGUAGCGGUGAAAUGCGCAGAGAUGUGGAGGAACACCAGUGGCGAAGGCGACUUUCUGGUCUGUAACUGACGCUGAUGUGCGAAAGCGUGGGGAUCAAACAGGAUUAGAUACCCUGGUAGUCCACGCCGUAAACGAUGAGUGCUAAGUGUUAGGGGGUUUCCGCCCCUUAGUGCUGCAGCUAACGCAUUAAGCACUCCGCCUGGGGAGUACGACCGCAAGGUUGAAACUCAAAGGAAUUGACGGGGGCCCGCACAAGCGGUGGAGCAUGUGGUUUAAUUCGAAGCAACGCGAAGAACCUUACCAAAUCUUGACAUCCUUUGACAACUCUAGAGAUAGAGCCUUCCCCUUCGGGGGACAAAGUGACAGGUGGUGCAUGGUUGUCGUCAGCUCGUGUCGUGAGAUGUUGGGUUAAGUCCCGCAACGAGCGCAACCCUUAAGCUUAGUUGCCAUCAUUAAGUUGGGCACUCUAAGUUGACUGCCGGUGACAAACCGGAGGAAGGUGGGGAUGACGUCAAAUCAUCAUGCCCCUUAUGAUUUGGGCUACACACGUGCUACAAUGGACAAUACAAAGGGCAGCGAAACCGCGAGGUCAAGCAAAUCCCAUAAAGUUGUUCUCAGUUCGGAUUGUAGUCUGCAACUCGACUACAUGAAGCUGGAAUCGCUAGUAAUCGUAGAUCAGCAUGCUACGGUGAAUACGUUCCCGGGUCU